Molecule: long non-coding RNA, 406 nt
Filed under: Ursus maritimus (polar bear)
Lineage: Eukaryota; Metazoa; Chordata; Mammalia; Carnivora; Ursidae
Description: lncRNA (ENSUMAG00000003447.1)
Source: RNAcentral
GGAGCCUCCUGGGGGGGCGCUCAGACCUUGAGGAAGAGUGGGCACCGCCUGGCUCGUCAGGGAGGACACCUGGCCGUGCUUCUGGGAGCGCCUGCGGCAGAAGGCAGGGGACAUAGCCCCUUGGGGCUCCUGGCAGAUCCGCAGGGAUAUCCUUGGCGCUUCCUAGCCUGGACGAUGCAGCUGAAGGUUGUGCCAUUGAUGUUUGUAAGACACACCAGUAACCUCGGAACACUUAGCAGAGAGCUCCUCCCUGGAUGGCUUCCGGAUGGAGGCGGGGCAGAUUGGACGGAGGAAUGAGCUGAAGGAAGAGGAUAUGGCAGGGGUGAAGGCCAGCUCCCGGAGGGUAAGGAGCCCCGGCUGGGGCCUGCUGCGUGCUGGGGGGGCCUUCUACCAGGGGUGGGGGUGG